Long non-coding RNA from Liolophura sinensis, 1247 nucleotides. RefSeq lists it as uncharacterized. The record is from RefSeq and is a predicted model, not a curated record. The transcript is spliced from 3 exons. Lineage: Eukaryota; Metazoa; Mollusca; Polyplacophora; Chitonida; Chitonidae.
AGCUGUUCCCGCCACCCUGGCCCCCAACAUCGCGCCCACCUGUCUGCUAGAGUUCUGUGCCCCUUCCCAGGAACUCUCGCAGGAAGUGUUUCAGGUGUUGUCCACAUCUCCAGCCCGACUUUCUCUAACCACUGGCAUCGUCUCUCCCAUUGAUCUGGCCAAUGAUGCCACUGACGUCGAGCCAGGCGCCGAAGAAGAGGACGCUGGCAGUCUGGUGAACAGCAAGGUCCGCGCUAUUUGUGACUACUUCACCCAGGAACAAGGACAUCUGACCUUCAGCAAGGGUCAGGUGAUUAAGCAGAAGGUUGCACGGGAUGAACACGGCCACUGUUUUGGUUGGACCAAAAAUGGGCGAUUCGCGCCGAAACGUUAUGGAUUCUAUCCGGCCGAAUACGUCUCCUUCUAUCAGAAGUAGGCGUGUGAAUGCACAGUUUGGUGUCACCUCAACUAUUUAUACUACUCUAUUACAAGUGUGCCAGAUCUAAGUAUUUAUGUACAGUAUAUCUGGACUUUUGUGAAAACAAACUGAUGGCUGUUUUUAUCUUUACAGCGUUGUUUUAGAAGUCUUUCACAACGUCUUAAUAAUAAAGCCUGUUCGUUGAACAUUUCCUGUAUUCAAACAAGAGUUACACAUCCUAAGGCUGACUGAUAUGACGUGUAAUUUUGUCCACUGCUCAGAUUGCACAAUCGUGCUCCUUGUGUCAUGAGCUCCAUCAGUACCUGUGUACUACGAUACACCUUCCUCAGUUUCCACAUUCAUCUUGUUUAUAAUCGAAAUAACAAAUUAUUAGUCCGGUUACAAUAACACCUGUCUGCUGUUAAUAUCAUAGCAUAAGCUAUGGAUAUCAAAUAAGGACGUCAUACGUUUUGGAGCUUAGAUAAGAUGGGCAUACGUAUUGGAUAUCAUAGAAGAACGACAUGCGUUUUCGAUAUCAGAUAAGACAGGCAUAUAUACGUUUUAGAUAUCUGGUAAGAAAAGCAUAGGAUUUGGAGCUCAGAUAGGAUCGGCCUACGUCAUCGAUGUCAAAUAAGAACGGCGUAAGUUUUGGAGAUUAGAUAAGAUCGAUAUACAUCAUGUAAAUACGGUAUACGUUUGAGUAUCAGGUACCAAUAGCAUAUGUUCUCGAUAUCAGAUAAGAACAACAUGUAUCCGUUUGCGAUAUUGGAUAAGAACGACAUAGACCUAUACACGUUUGGGAUAUCAGAGAAGAAUGGCGUAUAGAGGUUUGGGUUAUCACAUAAGAACG